Molecule: unclassified non-coding RNA, 325 nt
Filed under: soil metagenome
Description: partial contains 5.8S ribosomal RNA, internal transcribed spacer 2, and large subunit ribosomal RNA
Rfam family: 5.8S ribosomal RNA (bases 1-120)
Source: RNAcentral
GAUGAAGAACGCAGCGAAAUGCGAUAAGUAGUGUGAAUUGCAGAAUUCAGUGAAUCAUCGAAUCUUUGAACGCACAUUGCGCCCCUUGGUAUUCCAUGGGGCAUGCCUGUUCGAGCGUCAUUUGUACCUUCAAGCUUUGCUUGGUGUUGGGUGUUUGUCCUGAGGGACUCGCCUUAAAGUAAUUGGCAGCCAGUGUUUUGGUUUUGAAGCGCAGCACAAGUCGCGAUUCAAAGCUAUACGCCAGCUUCCACAAGCCUUUUUCACUUUUGACCUCGGAUCAGGUAGGGAUACCCGCUGAACUUAAGCAUAUCAAUAAGCGGAGGGA